CCUACGGGGGGCAGCAGUGAGGAAUAUUGGUCAAUGGACGUAAGCCUGAACCAGCCAAGUCGCGUGAGGGAUGACGGCUCUAUGGAUUGUAAACCUCUUUUAUAAGGGAGUAAAGUGUGAGACGUGUCCUGUUUUGUAUGUACCUUAUGAAUAAGGAUCGGCUAACUCCGUGCCAGCAGCCGCGGUAAUACGGAGGAUUCAAGCGUUAUCCGGAUUUAUUGGGUUUAAAGGGUGCGUAGGCGGCCUGUUAAGUCAGCGGUGAAAGUCCGGGGCUCAACCCUGGAAUUGCCUUUGAAACUGUGAGGCUUGAGUAUGUUUGAGGCAGGCGGAAUGUGUGGUGUAGCGGUGAAAUGCUUAGAGAUCAUACAGAACACCGAUUGCGAAGGCAGCUUGCCAAGCCAUGACUGACGCUGAGGCACGAAAGUGUGGGUAUCAAACAGGAUUAGAUACCCGAGUAGUC
Molecule: ribosomal RNA, 460 nt
Filed under: uncultured bacterium
Lineage: Bacteria
Description: partial 16S ribosomal RNA
Rfam family: Bacterial small subunit ribosomal RNA
Source: RNAcentral